AGAGUUUGAUCAUGGCUCAGAUUGAACGCUGGCGGCAGGCCUAACACAUGCAAGUCGAACGGUAACAGGAAGCAGCUUGCUGCUUCGCUGACUAGUGGCGGACGGGUGAGUAAUGUCUGGGAAGCUGCCUGAUGGAGGGGGAUAACUACUGGAAACGGUAGCUAAUACCGCAUAAUGUCGCAAGACCAAAGAGGGGGACCUUCGGGCCUCUUGCCAUCGGAUGUGCCCAGAUGGGAUUAGCUUGUUGGUGGGGUAACGGCUCACCAAGGCGACGAUCCCUAGCUGGUCUGAGAGGAUGACCAGCCACACUGGAACUGAGACACGGUCCAGACUCCUACGGGAGGCAGCAGUGGGGAAUAUUGCACAAUGGGCGCAAGCCUGAUGCAGCCAUGCCGCGUGUAUGAAGAAGGCCUUCGGGUUGUAAAGUACUUUCAGCGGGGAGGAAGGGAGUAAAGUUAAUACCUUUGCUCAUUGACGUUACUCGCAGAAGAAGCACCGGCUAACUCCGUGCCAGCAGCCGCGGUAAUACGGAGGGUGCAAGCGUUAAUCGGAAUUACUGGGCGUAAAGCGCACGCAGGCGGUUUGUUAAGUCAGAUGUGAAAUCCCCGGGCUCAACCUGGGAACUGCAUCUGAUACUGGCAAGCUUGAGUCUCGUAGAGGGGGGUAGAAUUCCAGGUGUAGCGGUGAAAUGCGUAGAGAUCUGGAGGAAUACCGGUGGCGAAGGCGGCCCCCUGGACGAAGACUGACGCUCAGGUGCGAAAGCGUGGGGAGCAAACAGGAUUAGAUACCCUGGUAGUCCACGCCGUAAACGAUGUCGACUUGGAGGUUGUGCCCUUGAGGCGUGGCUUCCGGAGCUAACGCGUUAAGUCGACCGCCUGGGGAGUACGGCCGCAAGGUUAAAACUCAAAUGAAUUGACGGGGGCCCGCACAAGCGGUGGAGCAUGUGGUUUAAUUCGAUGCAACGCGAAGAACCUUACCUGGUCUUGACAUCCACGGAAGUUUUCAGAGAUGAGAAUGUGCCUUCGGGAACCGUGAGACAGGUGCUGCAUGGCUGUCGUCAGCUCGUGUUGUGAAAUGUUGGGUUAAGUCCCGCAACGAGCGCAACCCUUAUCCUUUGUUGCCAGCGGUCCGGCCGGGAACUCAAAGGAGACUGCCAGUGAUAAACUGGAGGAAGGUGGGGAUGACGUCAAGUCAUCACGGCCCUUACGACCAGGGCUACACACGUGCUACAAUGGCGCAUACAAAGAGAAGCGACCUCGCGAGAGCAAGCGGACCUCAUAAAGUGCGUCGUAGUCCGGAUUGGAGUCUGCAACUCGACUCCAUGAAGUCGGAAUCGCUAGUAAUCGUGGAUCAGAAUGCCACGGUGAAUACGUUCCCGGGCCUUGUACACACCGCCCGUCACACCAUGGGAGUGGGUUGCAAAAGAAGUAGGUAGCUUAACCUUCGGGAGGGCGCUUACCACUUUGUGAUUCAUGACUGGGGUGAAGUCGAAACAAGGUAACCGUAGGGGAACCUGCGGUUG
Molecule: ribosomal RNA, 1522 nt
Filed under: metagenome
Description: bacterial SSU rRNA
Rfam family: Bacterial small subunit ribosomal RNA
Source: RNAcentral